UCCGUAGGGUGAACCUGCGGAAGGAUCAUUACCUAGAGUUGUAGGCUUUGCCUGCUAUCUCUUACCCAUGUCUUUUGAGUACCUUACGUUUCCUCGGCGGGUCCGCCCGCCGAUUGGACAAUUUAAACCAUUUGCAGUUGCAAUCAKCGUCUGAAAAAACUUAAUAKUUACAACUUUCAACAACGGAUCUCUUGGUUCUGGCAUCGAUGAAGAACGCAGCGAAAUGCGAUAAGUAGUGUGAAUUGCAGAAUUCAGUGAAUCAUCGAAUCUUUGAACGCACAUUGCGCCCCUUGGUAUUCCAUGGGGCAUGCCUGUUCGAGCGUCAUUUGUACCUUCAAGCUCUGCUUGGUGUUGGGUGUUUGUCUCGCCUCUGCGUGUAKACUCGCCUCAAAACAAUUGGCAGCCGGCGUAUUGAUUUCGGAGCGCAGUACAUCUCGCGCUUUGCACUCAUAACGACGACGUCCAAAAGUACAUUUUUACACUCUUGACCUCGGAUCAGGUAGGGAUACCCGCUGAACUUAACCAUAUCAAUAAGCGGAGGA
This 542-nucleotide ribosomal RNA is filed under the name Cytospora chrysosperma. RNAcentral's name for it is "eukaryotic LSU rRNA". The stretch from base 172 to 325 matches the Rfam family "5.8S ribosomal RNA". Lineage: Eukaryota; Fungi; Ascomycota; Sordariomycetes; Diaporthales; Cytosporaceae. The record is from RNAcentral.